This is a long non-coding RNA of Octopus sinensis (East Asian common octopus), 275 nucleotides long. RefSeq lists it as uncharacterized. The record is from RefSeq and is a predicted model, not a curated record. The transcript is spliced from 3 exons. Lineage: Eukaryota; Metazoa; Mollusca; Cephalopoda; Octopoda; Octopodidae.
UGAAGGGUAUUCGAUGAAAGAAAAAACACAUUCGAUUUUGCCCUGCUUCUGUGCAGGGUAAUAAAUUUUCAAGGGUUGUAAUUGUGUCUGCGGAUAAGUGAAGCUAAUUUCGCGUUUGUUCUAUAUUUACGAAGCAUGAUAGCAUUAGAAAAGAUCAAAUAAAUGAUUUGAAGAAUAUCUAUUUAUUGUAGUGCCUUUGUGCAUCUUUGAUCACGUGCAUCCAGUAAAAUUGGCGAAGAAAGAGUUUUACUUGUCAGAAGUAGAACACGAAUACG